Non-coding RNA from Gossypium hirsutum (cotton), 107 nucleotides. NCBI's taxonomy places the organism in Eukaryota, Viridiplantae, Streptophyta, Magnoliopsida, Malvales, Malvaceae. The record is from Rfam.
AAGCCAUGGUGGGGGCACCUUCGCAAAAGAUCCUUGAAUCGCUCCUAUGCAUCGUAGAGUGUCUCUAAGUCCAUCUGCACAAAAGAAGAAAUAUCAUUACGCAACUU